GAAAGUCCAGAUACAAAGGGGAUAUUUUUCACCCUUCCUGACAGCAGUUGACUUGCUAAGAACACAGUCAACUGCCUCUUCAAGUCCAGCAAUAGAGUACAACGUCACAGAGGCUGGAUUGCUUGGGGCGUUACGAAGGUGUGUAACCCACAGCGAAGGCACAUUGCUAACACCGAUGAAUGCUGAGUAGAAUACAGACAGUGGGACGUUGGGGUUUCCUGGCUGUAAAUAGAGCACUGCAUGAAAUUGCCGCUUUAAACACUUCCUCUGUGUAUGAAGCUCAUCCGUUGGAUCGCCACUUAUUUCAUUUAUAUAGGCAUAUCAGUUGUUUCCAAUGUAUUUUCAAGGAAACAUGCUGACAGCAUCAGGCAGAGCCAGGAACACAGUGGGUAUGAAGUGAGUUCGGAUCCUUGAACAGGCCAAGCCUGUCUGCAAGCUGGAAUGUUGGAAAAGUCUCCUCCCAGCCAACUGACCCUGCCUUCGUGCCGGUAACCCAAGGCUGAGCACAGAGUUGCCAAAGCUCCCUCUGUUUCCCACAAGAGAUGGCCUCUCCACUUCAAGAUUCAUUUGAGCCUGAAUUUGGUGGUAGCCCUGAAGAAUAUUCCUGAAUUUGGCCGCUUUCUGUGUGUUUUUCUCUCCUCCUCUACUGUUGCACACCAGGCAAGUGCUGCACUGCUGAUCUGUACCCCAGCUCCCUUUUAAUUUAUUUUAAUAUCGAUUGAUUGAUUUUGGGGAAAGUACUCAUUGAAUCUCCCAGGCUGGCCUAGAAUUUGCUUUGUAGUCCAAGUGGGCCUUGAACUUUUAAUUCUCCCAAGUAGCUGGGCUAACAGGUCUGUUGCAACCCUGGCUCCUAUGUGAACUGAAGGAGGUUGAAUGGGUCAUCCUUGACUGGACCAAGCUCAGGAGAAGCUGCUGAGGCCUGAGAGACAGCGGACUGUCCUCUGAAGCUUCCAGGAUUAGAAGGAGAAGAGACCAGAGCAUGGGGUUAGUGCAGUGUGAUGGUGCCUCAGAGUCUUGCUGGGUGUUUGGGAGCAAAAGGAUGGUGAGCAGCUUGUGUGUCGGACAGUAGAGGUUGGCUGGGAAGGUAAUAAAAGGAGUCCACACCUUCCUCACUGGUGCGUUACAGAAAAGGUCAAGGCAAUGUGUAACGGGCAAUGUAAAACGAGUAAAAG
Long non-coding RNA from Meriones unguiculatus (Mongolian gerbil), 1172 nucleotides. RefSeq lists it as uncharacterized. The transcript is spliced from 4 exons. The record is from RefSeq and is a predicted model, not a curated record. NCBI's taxonomy places the organism in Eukaryota, Metazoa, Chordata, Mammalia, Rodentia, Muridae.